GACGGAGGGUGCUAGCGUUGUUCGGAAUGACUGGGCGUAAAGGGUGCGUAGGCGGCGCGGUAAGUCGGGUGUGAAAUCUCGGAGCUUAACUCCGAAACUGCAUUCGAUACUGCCGUGCUUGAGGACUGGAGAGGAGACUGGAAUUUACGGUGUAGCGGUGAAAUGCGCAGAUAUCAGGAGGAACACCGGUGGCGAAGGCGGGUCUCUGGGCCGAUACUGACGCUGAGGAGCGAAAGCGUGGGGAGCGAACAGG
This 253-nucleotide ribosomal RNA is filed under the name uncultured bacterium. RNAcentral describes it as "partial 16S ribosomal RNA". It matches the Rfam family "Bacterial small subunit ribosomal RNA", at positions 524 to 776 of the family's 1533-position model. The record is from RNAcentral.